Molecule: transfer RNA, 72 nt
Filed under: Ovis aries (sheep)
Lineage: Eukaryota; Metazoa; Chordata; Mammalia; Artiodactyla; Bovidae
Rfam family: tRNA
About the family: Transfer RNA (tRNA) molecules are approximately 80 nucleotides in length. Their secondary structure includes four short double-helical elements and three loops (D, anti-codon, and T loops).
Source: Rfam by way of RNAcentral
UCCCACAUGGCUGAGAUGGUAAAGAAUCUGUCUGCAGUGCAGGAGACCCAGGUUCCAUCCCUGGGUUGGGAA